UGUCCACGCCGUGGCCGACCCGGGGAUCACCGACAGCCGGGCCAUGCCUCGAGUCCCGCCGCCCGCGCCGCUGCUCGGCUUCUCAGAAACGCACCUCCACGCCGCCAGCCGGGGCUCCAGGGUCCACCGCCCGGGCCCGGAGGACUGGCGACUCCCUCCGAGGUUGGGAGCGCUCCGGAUUUCUCCAACUUCAGCUUCAACAGUAUUGCCUGCUCUAUACACUAGGAAACAUUAUGUGGAACAGCAAAUUUGCUUUCCAAGUCAAACUGAAGAAAACCACACAAUAAUUAUCUAGAAUUAACUUACUGAAUUUAAAGAGGAAUAUACUUGAACUGCCUGACAAAUUAUGCAUUAAGAACAAACCAAGAGAAAAACAAAACAAACAUCACACCAUAAUAUUUUUGUAAAAAGUUUUGAAAGACAAGUGUUUCAUCGUCUUGAGAACGCUGACUUAUGAUGCCCUUGAUUGGCAUUAAGGAAACAAACUCUGGGAAAGAAUGAUGACGUCCUGUUAUAUUCUCAUCUUUGUAUUGCUCUCUCAAGAAAUAUGGGGGAGGAGGAGCCAGAAGAAGAAACAGCUCGAAGAAUUGACUAUUGUUGCCUCUGGCAAAUGGGAUGAGGAAAUGGGAAGUUAUGAGACAAGGAAAUGAUGAGUUUCAUUACAAGCCUAGAAGUAAUUAAGCGUUUAUGUUACUCAUUUGUACUAUUUUCACUUAAGACAAUGAAAAUUUAUAAUUUCUAAAGAGCAGAAAAGAGCUCGGAAAGGUUACCUGCUUGGUAACCAAUGGCUGUAUGAUAUGUUGCCUGACUGUUAAAUCCAGAAACUGUCAAAAGAUGGGUUUUGUUUAGGUUGAGCCAGACUUUCUCCAGAAGGAGUAACGCACCAAAGGAUCUGUCUGACUCCCACCCCCAUGACCACCUCUAUUUCUGCUCAUCUCCAGCUUGACCGCUGGACCUUCAGGCAGGUCUUCCCUUGUCCCACAGCCAAGUGUUGCCCCUCUCCAUUCAUCUCUUCUACUAUUAUCAUCAGCUGAGUCAGAAAUAGAAGACUCAGUGGACACAAAAAAAGACUAGCUGCCAUUCUGAGCUAGAGGCUGCUUCAGAGGAAGACAGCUGACUUCACUGACCACCCACUCAGUCCCAGGCACUGGACUCUGGGCACCUUUCCAUAUUAUUAUCUUAAUUGAGCAUCCCAACUGAUAUGGCCAGGCUUUAUGUCCCCACUCAAAUCUCAUCCUGAAUUAUAAUCCCCAU
RNAcentral lists this long non-coding RNA (1254 nucleotides) under Homo sapiens (human). RNAcentral describes it as "HSALNT0361270". Lineage: Eukaryota; Metazoa; Chordata; Mammalia; Primates; Hominidae. The record is from RNAcentral.